GGAUGUGAGGGCAAUAUGACUGUGACAUGUCACCCAUUGAUUACUAGGGUUGAUUCAAGCUGCUAGGCAGGUAUCCCAUUUGUCCCUUAGGCCCCAUUUGCAUCCCUUCCAAACUGCCUGCUCAGUCAAAGAAGACAGCUUCCCCCAAAGAGGAGGACUGAUCUUCUGCCAAGGGUAUAUAAGUAGCUGCUUUCCCCUGCUAGAACCUCCAAACAAGCUCUCCCAGGCUAGCCUGGACCACAUGACCCUAUCUCGAAAGAAAGGAAGAAAGGAAGGAAGGAAGAAAGAAAGAAA
RNAcentral lists this small nuclear RNA (294 nucleotides) under Rattus norvegicus (Norway rat). Its description in RNAcentral is "7SK RNA". It matches the Rfam family "7SK RNA", at positions 1 to 272 of the family's 331-position model. From Rfam's summary of the family: 7SK was discovered as an abundant small nuclear RNA in the mid-70s but a possible function has only recently been suggested. Two independent studies have found that 7SK RNA binds the CDK9/cyclin T complex (known as elongation factor P-TEFb). Lineage: Eukaryota; Metazoa; Chordata; Mammalia; Rodentia; Muridae. The record is from Rfam by way of RNAcentral.